GGCUACCCGCUGAGUUUAAGCAUAUCAAUAAAGCGGAGGA
Molecule: ribosomal RNA, 40 nt
Filed under: Nanocnide japonica
Lineage: Eukaryota; Viridiplantae; Streptophyta; Magnoliopsida; Rosales; Urticaceae
Description: partial 28S rRNA
Source: RNAcentral